AAAAAAAUGGUGCAGAAAAAAUCGAAAAAUGGAAGGAAGAAAAGAGGAAGGAGGAGAAGAAAUCAUCAUCAAAUUCUACUAUCUUUUGCUGGGAAUUAAUCCUGUAAUUGGGCUACAAUUUAAGGUAAAGGAAAAUUUUGAUUUCCUGUUCUAAUUAGUUGGUGUGCAUGACAAGGGGUGGAAAUUAAAUUGAACUCUUGUUUCCAUUUUCUUUUAAUUAGUUAAGUAAAGAAGGAUUAAUAAGUAAUAUCAAUUAAGUAUAAUUUGUAAAGAAAAACAAUUAUAAUCAUGUAAAAUCAGCCGCAUGUGUACCUUGAAACUAAGAUAUAUAAUUGGAUGUAUUGGGGGAAAAUAAUUAAAGUAUCAAUUUUAUUGAAGGAGAAAUGAACAGGAACUGAAUGGUAAGCUAAUGAGAUUAAUUAUUGGUUAAAUGAUAUUGGCUAAAUAAUUGUUUAUAAUUUACUUUGAAUAAGGAAAUAAUUGAGUAGUGGACUUGAGUGAACCGAGUGGAAAAUUCUUUAAAUGAGGAAUUAUAUUAGAUGACUACUCAUUAUUUAACAUGUUUGGUCUUGAUUCGAGUAAUUAUAUUGUCAAUUCAGGAGGUGGAUGUAGAAGUGAGAAAAGUCAAUAAACCUAGCUAGUUCAUUGCUAAGAACUCGGUGAGUGGAAAAAUAUAAAUAUUUUUAAAGUAUUUAUAAAUUAAGUUUAUUGUUAAAGUAUGUGCAAUUAUAUGCAAUUAUGUGUUCAAAUUACAUGGUUUUUAUGGAAAUAUCUUUUAUUAUGAUACAUGUGGGAUUUCAAAGAUUGUAUACGUUACAUUGUGAAUUGGAAUUGAGAUAUGAUUUUGAGAUCGACCAGAAAAGCACCCGUGAUUAUAUAUUUCUUCUAGUUCACUGAGGGACCUUGGCCGUGCUCUAUACUACACUGAGGGGUCAUGGACCGUGGAUGAAGGGGUCUCAACCGUGUACAUAUAGUUCACUGAGGGGCCUUGGUCGUGUUCUAGAAUUGAUUAUGAGAGAUCUUUGAGACCGACUUUCGUUCACGGAGGGGCCAAAGGCCCGUGGUGAAAGUUCUUAGCCCGAGGGGCGGAUUAUUUAUUUUAUCAGAGGAUACAUUUUUGGUGGAUUUUUCAGUACGUUUGAUGUGAUGAGAUUAUAGUAUGGUUAUCAGCUGAUGUCUAUAUCAUGAUUUUAAGAUGAUAUUUUAUGACUUUAUGUGAAUAUUUCACUCUUUGGCUAUAAUUACAUGAUGGUAGCUUGUGAAUUAUCAAAUAAUAUGAAUUUGAUAUUCGAUAAAAAAUGUAUAAAUGAAAAAGCAUAUUUAUUUCGAACUUCUCCACUCACUGAGCUAUCAACUCAUAUAUUUUUCCGUAAUUUUCCUACAGGUGGAAAAUUGAUUCUUUUUAGCUGGAAGAGCCUAAUGAUUUCGGAAUGAGAGCCACACGACAUGUUGAAUAUUAUAACUCAUAUUGAUGAAGCACGGAGUAAAUAUUUUGGGCCCAUCGCAUUAUAUUUUACAUAAGCAUUUGGUUUUAUUGCAUUUUUUUGAAAUA
This 1552-nucleotide long non-coding RNA is filed under the name Olea europaea (common olive). RNAcentral's name for it is "long non-coding RNA (OEUR_LNC010166)". The record is from RNAcentral. Lineage: Eukaryota; Viridiplantae; Streptophyta; Magnoliopsida; Lamiales; Oleaceae.